AGUUCCAGUUUUUCCGGUUCAACAGCCGGACCGGUCCCUUUUUUUUACUAUGAUAUACAGCAGUGUCCCCACCAGUCAGUAGCAGUGGCGAAGGAAGCGUAUCUCCCAUUCCCCGGAGCGCUCGAGGGCAGCGAAUCGCGAUUUCGAGUUUCCACGCGCGCCACCUGUUCGACGAAACGCCUGCCUGAGCGAGCGAUUUCGAGUUUCCACGCGCGCCAUCUGUUCGACGAAACGACUCUGCGCGCGUGCUCGGCCACCAUGGAGGGGUCGCCUGGCAAGAUCAGGCUCAGCACCCUCCCCGACGACAUCGUCUUCCGCAUCAUGUCCUUCCUGACCAUGCGCCAGGCUGUGCGGAUGUGCGUGCUGUCGCGGCGGUGGCGCAACCUCUGGCGCACCGUGCCCUGCAUCAACGCUGACAUCAGCGAGUUCAAGCGGAGAGAUACCGAGCACUAUGAUCAAGAGACGGAAUUGGCGUUCAAGAUGUUCAUGGAAAGGCUGAAUGAGCUCCGCGACCCCGCCCCCUUGAUACACACGUUUCGGUUCAGGUGCAUAUUGGAUUUGAAUGAGGAAAUCAACCAUAUCUUGGACUCGGAAGUUAUCAACGGAUGGAUUAGCCACGCUGUGCAGAAGCAGCCACUUUCUGGAUAUUGUCCUGCUGUGUGACAAAUUGGAGCUCAAUCACUCUGCAUUCAAUUGCCGCUACCUCAGAAGAAUUGACUUCACCAAUGUUAUUUUGAUGCAAGGAUUCUUCAAGCAACUCGAGAUGGGCUGUCCAGCAAUGAGAGGUCUCUUCUUAGAUGAAUGCAGCGUUGAGGAUGUUGAGAUCUCCUCCCAGACACUGAAGGUUUUGACCAUCAAGAAUACUCAUGUCUCCUAUGGCAACAAGACUACUAUUUCGACCCCCAGUGUUACUUAUCUGAAGUUGUGGAGCCCUUUGAAUGGCACAUAUGUGCUUAAUGACAUGCCAUUACUAGUGACUUCAUUACUGGUACUUUAUCAUGUGCAAGACUCUGGUGAUUUUUUCCAAAAUCUCAGGAGCCUUUCUGCUGCUAAAAGUUUGGAGUUCGAUUAUGUUGGGAGAAGAAAACAGCUGACAAUUGAAAACAAUUUGCAAUUGUACCCAAAAUUCAACAAUCUUGUCAGCCUGACUCUCGGUCAAUGGUGUCUGGAUGCAAACUUCUAUGGAUUGACGGUCUUCCUUCAGACCUCACCAAAAAUAAGCUAACUCUAAAGCUUGAAAAGGAAAAACCACAAAGAAUCAUUGGCAAACUUGAAGAUAGAUCAUUUACAUGUGAGCACCUUACGCGUGUUGAAGUCGUAUGCUCGGAGGAUGAUCCCCUGGUCGAAGACGUGGUGAACUUCUUUGUAAAUAGUGGACUGACCUCUGCUCAGGUUCAUAUCAUACGCCGGGUGUAGAUCAAGUACAUGUGAGCACCUUACGUGUGUUGAAGUCUUAUGCUCGGAGGAUGAUCCCCUGGUCAAAGACGUGGUGAACUUCUUUGUAAAUAGUGGACUGACCUCUGCUCAGGUUCAUAUCAUACGCCGGGUGUAGAUCAAGUACAUGUGAGCACCUUACGUGUGUUGAAGUCUUAUGCUCGGAGGAUGAUCCCCUGGUCAAAGACGUGGUGAACUUCUUUGUUAAUAGUGGACUGACCUCUGCUCAGGUUCAUAUCAUAACAUUUGUUGCUCCAGUUGAGUCCGAAAGCACAUAUAAACAUGUAUACUGCUCUUGUUUGGUGCUAUGAUAUGAGUAGAAACAAUCAUGUCUUAGUAGUACUAUGUAAGUGAAAGGUCUGUCACCUUGUUCUGUUGAUGUUCUAUUGUCCUAUAACCAAGACGUACUGCAAGUUGAUGCUUGAGUACUCUAUUAUUUUGCCUUUAUAUUUUCCCGACGUGAUGUUAUACACCA
Oryza sativa Japonica Group (Japanese rice) is the source of this 1909-nucleotide RNA transcript. It is a transcript of the gene named putative F-box/LRR-repeat protein At4g13960, with no coding region annotated. Lineage: Eukaryota; Viridiplantae; Streptophyta; Magnoliopsida; Poales; Poaceae. The record is from RefSeq and is a predicted model, not a curated record.